RNAcentral lists this ribosomal RNA (484 nucleotides) under uncultured bacterium. Its description in RNAcentral is "partial 16S ribosomal RNA". It matches the Rfam family "Bacterial small subunit ribosomal RNA", at positions 29 to 507 of the family's 1533-position model. The record is from RNAcentral.
AGUGAACGCUGGCGGCAGGCCUAACACAUGCAAGUCGAGCGGCAGCGCGGGGGCAACCCUGGCGGCGAGCGGCGGACGGGUGAGGAAUUCGUCGGAAUCUGCCUUCUUGUGGGGGAUAACGUAGGGAAACUUACGCUAAUACCGCAUACGUCCUACGGGAGAAAGUGGGGGACCGCAAGGCCUCACGCAGAAAGAUGAGCCGACGACCGAUUAGCUAGUUGGUGGGGUAAAGGCCCACCAAGGCGACGAUCGGUAGCUGGUCUGAGAGGAUGAUCAGCCACACUGGGACUGAGACACGGCCCAGACUCCUACGGGAGGCAGCAGUGGGGAAUAUUGGACAAUGGGCGCAAGCCUGACCCAGCCAUGCCGCGUGUGUGAAGAAGGCCUUCGGGUUGUAAAGCACUUUUGUCCGGAAAGAAAUCCCUGGAGCUAAUACCUUCGGGGGAUGACGGUACCGGAAGAAUAAGCACCGGCUAACUUCGUG